UUAAAUUGAAGAGUUUGAUCAUGGCUCAGAUUGAACGCUGGCGGCAGGCCUAACACAUGCAAGUCGAACGGUAACAGGAAGCAGCUUGCUGCUUAGCUGACGGGUGGCGGGCGG
Molecule: ribosomal RNA, 114 nt
Filed under: Salmonella enterica subsp. enterica serovar Enteritidis
Lineage: Bacteria; Pseudomonadati; Pseudomonadota; Gammaproteobacteria; Enterobacterales; Enterobacteriaceae
Description: partial 16S ribosomal RNA
Rfam family: Bacterial small subunit ribosomal RNA
Source: RNAcentral